GUUCUUCCUAAGCUCCCUUCUGUGUUCCCAGACCUUUCUUUUUGUCAGUGGAAAAGGAGAACACGAUCCAUUCUUCAGCACAAUAGCCGUUCCCGUACUUUCAGAUUUAUUCAUUGAGUUUCCUCCAGCCUCACCUUCUCUUGAUUAAAUAAGGUUUCUGCUGGUCUCAGACCUGUCAUCGAGAGUUCUCACUUUCAUUGUGCAUAGAAAACGAUCAGAAGAAACUCACCCAGGACAGACCAAAAGCCACAGGAAGCUCUGCCCAUUGGAGCCUCGCCAUCUCCAACCAUCAGAAUGGAGAUUCUCCCAGAGCAAAAGCAUCCUGCAGGAGCACAAGACAGAUAUUGGAGGGAAGUUCACAUGUUUCUGCCUGAGACUGGGGCUCUGGUAGGAAACUUCAGAGGAAGACACGCUCUGGAAGAAAGCAUGCUAAACCUACUUAGACAUCAAAUUCACAACCAAUUGCAGCCCCCAAAGGGAAGGUCUCACUCACAUCUUGGGCUGAGACACAGGCUUUCCCUGGGGCAAUUCCCCUCAUAGUGCCCCAUCUUGCUCCCUUAGGCUCCUGCAUUUCUCUCUGUCACUCCCUCUCCAACCUUCUCCCCAGGAUUUCCCUUUUCUUCUUUCAUCCUCUUUUUUUACUGCCACUCUCUAUAGCUCUUCUCCCUGUAGCUUCUCCUUUCUUCCCUUUCCCCCCCGCAAGGAGCUGAUAAGCCUGUGUUUUUUGUUUGUUUGUUUCUUUGUUUGUUUUGAGAUGGAGUCUCACUCUGUUGCCCAGGCUGGAGUGCAGUGGCGUGAUCUCGGCUCACUGCAACCUCCGCCUCCCAGGUUCAAGCAAUUCUCCUGCCUCAGCCUCCCAAGUAGCUGAAAUUACAGGCGCGCACCACCACAGCCAGCUAAUUUUUGUAUUUUUUUAAUAGAGAUGGGGUUUCACCAUGCUGGUCAGGCUGGUCUCGAACUCCUAACCUCGUGAUCCACCUGCCUCUGCCUCCUAAAGUACUGGGAUUACACGUGUGACCCACUGUGCCUGGCCAAGCCUGUGUUUUAAGUCUGGGUGGCGUUAAUGGGGAAUAGAUGCUUAGAAAACAAAAUAAUUUGCAACACUAGCAUCUGCCUUCCAUGGGAUUCUCUUGCUGAUUCCUUCUUAACCGGACCUAGCUAGUGGAUUAUACAUUUGGUUUGCUGUUUUCCUUUAUCCAGGAAGUUCUUAAAGAAGUCUUGUAUUACAGUGCACAUUUAAUUACUCACUGUUGCCUACCCUGCUAUUUAUGUGUUUAUUUUUGCCAAAUAAUUCUACAGAUUUCUCAGUAACUGGCUAGUUAAAACCCUUCUGCAUUCUCUUCUUCUUAAUGAAAGUCCAGGCCUCCCUGUAUUGAUAGAAUCAUCUUUUAUACAUGUGAAUAAAUUGGCAAACUCUAUUUCUAAAAUGUCCACAGAUUUCCCCUUCUAACCUGCUCUCAGGGAGUUAUUUCUUGGCCUUGGGCUUAUCUGGAAAGGAUGCUGUGUAAAAAAAAAAAAAAAAAAAAAAAAAAAAAGGACAUUAUUUUUGUUUUCAGAACUCUUCUGGGCAGAGAGACUUCUUUUUAUUUAUUUUGUAAUUAGCUGUUCUGGAGCUAUUUUUCAAAAUCACCCAUGAAAAGAGGCAGAGAACCCUAGUGUAUCACAGUGAGCCUUUCAUCAUGUGCCCAUGCAAUCAAGCUGUUCUGUGACCAUCCAGGAGGGCUAUGAGAGACAGCAUCCCCUUGUAAAGUUUUGAAUUUGAACAUUGCAUCCCUUUCCUGGCUUCAUGGUCCCUGGGGGUUUGGGGAUGGCAAGAUAUAGCGCCUAUACCAUCUGACCUAAUGACCAAGGGGAGUGGCAGUCUUCAUGCCCAGGCAAAGUCAGUCUCCACGGCUUGCAGAUUCUUAGAUGAUUCACAACGCUCCUGAUUAAUAUCACAGAAGCCUCAAUACUGCAGUGAUUUGGCAAUCUCUGUGGGUGGGUGGGAAGCGUGCGCAUGUGUGUGCAUGGUGUAGAGUUGCACAUGCUGCAACGAGGAAAACCCGGAUCCCAAUUUCUCUCUUGGGAAAACAUUAAAGCACAGCCAAAAUAACCAACAGAACUGCCUGUGUCUACACAUCAAUAUUGAGCUUUAUGAAAUUAUACAAUCUGAAUAAACAAUUCUGAAUGCACCAAACCAGUAAAUACAUAUUAGCAGUUUUUAAGCAGAACAAUCUCCUCACUCACAGUGUAUGCACAUGCUGGCUCAAUUCACAGACUUUACCUGUCCCCCAGUAUAGACAAAGAGUUUUUCAUUUUAAAGCUACACAAAGAUUAUGAACACAGAAUCUUU
Molecule: long non-coding RNA, 2332 nt
Filed under: Homo sapiens (human)
Lineage: Eukaryota; Metazoa; Chordata; Mammalia; Primates; Hominidae
Description: HSALNT0309142
Source: RNAcentral